CAGCUAGUUGGCGGGGUAACGGCCCACCAAGGCUACGAUGUCUAGGGGAUCUGAGAGGAUGACCCCCCACACUGGUACUGAGACACGGACCAGACUCCUACGGGAGGCAGCAGUAAGGAAUAUUGGUCAAUGGGCGCAAGCCUGAACCAGCCAUGCCGCGUGCAGGAAGACGGCCCUACGGGUUGUAAACUGCUUUUAUCGGGGAAUAAACCUCUUUACGUGUAGAGAGUUGAAUGUACUCGAGGAAUAAGGAUCGGCUAACUCCGUGCCAGCAGCCGCGGUAAUACGGAGGAUCCAAGCGUUAUCCGGAUUUAUUGGGUUUAAAGGGUGCGUAGGCGGCCUAUUAAGUCAGGGGUGAAAGACGGUGGCUCAACCAUCGCAGUGCCUUUGAUACUGAUAGGCUUGAAUACACUAGAGGUAGGCGGAAUGUGACAAGUAGCGGUGAAA
RNAcentral lists this ribosomal RNA (447 nucleotides) under uncultured Bacteroidota bacterium. RNAcentral's name for it is "SSU rRNA". It matches the Rfam family "Bacterial small subunit ribosomal RNA", at positions 242 to 686 of the family's 1533-position model. The record is from RNAcentral. Lineage: Bacteria; Pseudomonadati; Bacteroidota.